This 570-nucleotide ribosomal RNA is filed under the name uncultured bacterium. Its description in RNAcentral is "bacterial SSU rRNA". It matches the Rfam family "Bacterial small subunit ribosomal RNA", at positions 77 to 624 of the family's 1533-position model. The record is from RNAcentral.
CGGUAAUGACGUUGGGAAAGCGAGCGGCGGAUGGGUGAGUAACACGUGGGGAACCUGCCCCUAAGUCUGGGAUACCAUUUGGAAACAGGUGCUAAUACCGGAUAAUAAAGCAGAUCGCAUGAUCAGCUUUUGAAAGGCGGCGUAAGCUGUCGCUAAGGGAUGGCCCCGCGGUGCAUUAGCUAGUUGGUAAGGUAACGGCUUACCAAGGCGACGAUGCAUAGCCGAGUUGAGAGACUGAUCGGCCACAUUGGGACUGAGACACGGCCCAAACUCCUACGGGAGGCAGCAGUAGGGAAUCUUCCACAAUGGACGCAAGUCUGAUGGAGCAACGCCGCGUGAGUGAAGAAGGUUUUCGGAUCGUAAAGCUCUGUUGUUGGUGAAGAAGGAUAGAGGUAGUAACUGGCCUUUAUUUGACGGUAAUCAACCAGAAAGUCACGGCUAACUACGUGCCAGCAGCCGCGGUAAUACGUUAGGUGGCAAGCGUUGUCCGGAUUUAUUGGGCGUAAAUCGAGCGCAGGCGGAAAAAAUAACGUCUAAUGUGAAAGCCCUCGGGCUUAACCGAGGAACUGC